UUGCUUCAGUUGUGUUCAGUCAUCCAGUCCUUUCCUGCUACACUUGCAAGAGGAAGCAAGCAAAACAUGAAUGAAAAGUCCCACUGGGCUGUUGAAGACUGGAACACCUGCAAAAAUUUGCGGCAAUAACCCCAGGGUAUUUUUGACUUGUUCUAUAUAGCAUUUGUUCAUUUCCCUUCUCCUAUGGUAUUCUGAAUAAGGCACUCAGUAUCAUCCACCCACUAGAAUAGAGGCAGAGAGAACAUAUAUGGCUUAAUUCGGGGCAUUAAAAAACAAAGCAUAACACCUAUGUACUUACUGGAUCAAACAUAAUUAUCCAAUGAUUCAGUCUUCUGGGGUACAUUUUCAAAUCUACUGAUCUCACAACUACGUUCCUGAACAAAGCAUGUAGAGUUGCAGACGUGCCCCAGAGCAAUGCUUGUUAGGUAGCUUGGAGUGUGUCGGGAUCUAUAAUCCAGGUAAAUAUUGGGGAGCUGCCUGGGACAGAGGUGGAAAGGCUUUGCCCAUUGUCUUUUUUUUCCAGGCACUUAGGACUUUGCAGAAAGAGGAAGGAAGCAGCAUGGAGGCUGAGAGCAAGGAGUACAACAUCUGACUGAGGAGGAGACUUAAGAUGUGUGGAGGUGAAAAAGCAAGCUCUGAAAGCCAAAUCAAUUGCAGAAAAGAUCCAGUGAAGCCUCAUGAACUCAGAUAUCUUCUUAAAGGUGGAGGACACAAAUAAAUGAGAUUUGGACACUCCAAGUAAUACAUACAUCGCAAUCAGAGGAGAAGAGGUGAGGAAAAAAAAAGUUAAAUGAUUAGAUGCUAAGUUCUGUGUAGUCACAGUUAGGUUUUUACACAUAAUCAGAUCUGCUAUAGUACAAAGAUAGUCUGAGUCUCUCUGCACUGUAUUAUCAGCAGUGGUAUACUUAAUGAAAGAUAGGUAGGUUGUGUAAGCACUUUUGGGAAUUGCUAGCUUUGUUCCAGAACUGUGGUUUGUUUUUCUUUUUUAACCCAAACAUUUUUUUUGUUCCGUUUUUGGUGUUGCACACAGUUUCCUUCUCUCUUAACUGUUUGUGAGAGCACCUUUGUCUCAUCCCUACUGGUGUUCCCCUGUAACGAACCAUUUUCCAAUCCUCUUCCUGCUUUUGCCCUUGUAUAAAGCACCCAAGGCCCUUCAGACCCUGCAAAAAUCUCCUAUGGGACAUGCAUGUCACACAAUGCACUCCCAACAUGGCUAAAGUUGCUUUAAUCUUACUGCAUGCUUCUGACUUUUGUAAGGUAAAUGGGAAGGUCUGAGCCAGGCCUUUCCUCCAUU
This 1294-nucleotide long non-coding RNA is filed under the name Anser brachyrhynchus (Pink-footed goose). RNAcentral describes it as "lncRNA (ENSABRG00000016994.1)". Lineage: Eukaryota; Metazoa; Chordata; Aves; Anseriformes; Anatidae. The record is from RNAcentral.